AACGAACGCUGGCGGCAUGCCUAACACAUGCAAGUCGAACGAGACCUUCGGGUCUAGUGGCGCACGGGUGCGUAACGCGUGGGAACCUGCCCUUAGGUUCGGAAUAACUCCCCGAAAGGGGUGCUAAUACCGGAUAAUGUCUUCGGACCAAAUAUUUAUCGCCUUUGGAUGGGCCCGCGUUGGAUUAGCUAGUUGGUAGGGUAAAAGCCUACCAAGGCGACGAUCCAUAGCUGGUCUGAGAGGAUGAUCAGCCACACUGGGACUGAGACACGGCCCAGACUCCUACGGGAGGAAGAAGUGGGGAAUAUUGGACAAUGGGCGAAAGCCUGAUCCAGCAAUGCCGCGUGAGUGAUGAAGGCCUUAGGGUUGUAAAGCUCUUUUACCCGGGAUGAUAAUGACAGUACCGGGAGAAUAAGCUCCGGCUAACUCCGUG
RNAcentral lists this ribosomal RNA (433 nucleotides) under uncultured bacterium. RNAcentral's name for it is "partial 16S ribosomal RNA". It matches the Rfam family "Bacterial small subunit ribosomal RNA", at positions 29 to 507 of the family's 1533-position model. The record is from RNAcentral.